RNAcentral lists this unclassified non-coding RNA (264 nucleotides) under uncultured fungus. RNAcentral describes it as "sequence contains ITS1, 5.8S rRNA gene". The stretch from base 216 to 264 matches the Rfam family "5.8S ribosomal RNA", at positions 1 to 49 of the family's 154-position model. Lineage: Eukaryota; Fungi. The record is from RNAcentral.
UUUCCGUAGGUGAACCUGCGGAAGGAUCAUUAACAAUCCAUACCUUACUCUUUGGUCAGGCUCGCCUGUCAAAGUUUUAAACCACUUGUGAAAAACAAACCUUUUUGCUUCGGCAGCUGGUUGGGCCCUAACCAGCCUAACCGUCAGCCUGCCGGCAGCACCAAACCAAACCUUUAUGUUUAUUAUGUCUGAAAAUAAAUUUUGAAUUAAAUCAAAACUUUCAACAACGGAUCUCUUGGUUCUCGCAUCGAUGAAGAACGCAGC